ACACCCCACAUUCAAAAUCUUUUUUUUGAAUGGAACUGAGAGUUUUUACGGUUUGAUUUUUUUGAAGUCAAGCUGUUCUCUUUAAAGAUAUUAGGCCUGAAAUUUUAGUUUUUUUGUUGCCUGAACUUUUUUUUUAAUAUAAAGGAAAAGCUCUGGUCAAUUUUUAAAAAAGCUUAUUAUGUUGGGGCCUCCCAAAUAAAUCUCUCUUAA
RNAcentral lists this unclassified non-coding RNA (210 nucleotides) under Mucor flavus. Its description in RNAcentral is "partial internal transcribed spacer 2". Lineage: Eukaryota; Fungi; Mucoromycota; Mucoromycetes; Mucorales; Mucoraceae. The record is from RNAcentral.